Molecule: ribosomal RNA, 402 nt
Filed under: uncultured bacterium
Lineage: Bacteria
Description: partial 16S ribosomal RNA
Rfam family: Bacterial small subunit ribosomal RNA
Source: RNAcentral
GAUGAACGCUGACAGAAUGCUAACACAUGCAAGUCAACUUGGUUGCGGACGGGUGAGUAACGCGUAAGAACUUGCCUCACAGGUAGGGACAACAUUUGGAAACGAAGCUAUACCUAAUACUGUGAGAGAGCUUUGCGUCCCAUUAGCUAGUUGGAGAGGUAACGGCUCACCAAGGCGAUGAUGGGUAGCCGGCCUGAGAGGGUGAUCGGCCACAAGGGGACUGAGACACGGCCCUUAAGCCGACGGGAGGCAGCAGUGGGGAAUUUUGGACAAUGGGGGAAACCCUGAUCCAGCCAUCCCGCGUGUGCGAUGAAGGCUUCGGGUUGUAAAGCACUGUUGGCAGGAAAGCGGUACCUGCAGAAUAAGCACCGGCUAACUACGUGCCAGCAGCCGCGGUAAUAC